RNAcentral lists this ribosomal RNA (368 nucleotides) under uncultured organism. RNAcentral's name for it is "bacterial LSU rRNA". It matches the Rfam family "Bacterial large subunit ribosomal RNA", at positions 2099 to 2465 of the family's 2925-position model. The record is from RNAcentral.
CUUUACUGUAACCUGGUAUUGGGUUCGGGCUUUGACUGCGCAGGAUAGGUGGGAGGCUAUGAAGCAAUCCUUGUGGGGAUUGUGGAGUCAACAGUGAGAUACCACUCUGUCAGAGCUAGAAUUCUAACCUUCACCCGUUGUCCGGGGAAGGAACCGUAUCAGGCGGGCAGUUUGACUGGGGCGGUCGCCUCCUAAAUGGUAACGGAGGCGCGCAAAGGUGUUCUCAGGCUGGUUGGAAAUCAGCCGCAGAGUGUAAAGGCAGAAGAACGCUUGACUGUGAGAGUGACAACUCGAGCAGGGUGGAAACACGGCCUCAGUGAUCCGACGGCUUGUGCGUGGAAAUGCCGUCGCUCAACGGAUAAAAGUUA